CAGCUAUGAUGAUUAAAGGAUAUGGUUUCUCUUUCAAUGAAAGUUAAUGAUCACAUUUUCCUUGGCUGUCUGAGCUG
Ylistrum balloti is the source of this 77-nucleotide small nucleolar RNA. RefSeq annotates it as small nucleolar RNA SNORD53/SNORD92. The record is from RefSeq and is a predicted model, not a curated record. The transcript has a single exon. NCBI's taxonomy places the organism in Eukaryota, Metazoa, Mollusca, Bivalvia, Pectinida, Pectinidae.